This is a long non-coding RNA of Bombyx mori (domestic silkworm), 1239 nucleotides long. RefSeq lists it as uncharacterized. Lineage: Eukaryota; Metazoa; Arthropoda; Insecta; Lepidoptera; Bombycidae. The record is from RefSeq and is a predicted model, not a curated record. The transcript has 3 exons.
AUCUACGGAACACAACCUCAGUUGAGGUCCACAUUCAAAUUUGUGCUGUCGCUAAUAGUGGCCAUGUGUUUUUGUUGUUAUUCUUAUUGUGUUAAAUAAGUUUUUUUUUAUUGUGUCGAAAUUUCAUCUAAGAUGUUUACUCAGCUUGUCAUCCUGCUAGUGAUGCUUGACCUACCCGACGUCUUUAAUUCGCCGUUACUGAGGACCACGGACACAAAGAGUCUUAAACACCCCGUCAUACUAACUCAUGAGCCGACACACAUUCAACACAUACACAUACUACCGUCGAAAUAUCCCAGAAAGAAAAAAGCGCCAAACUUGACCGUAAUUCCCUUAACCCAUCAGCUAUACGUUCCCGCAAAAUUCCAUGUUUUACCGUCCCAGUCGAACGUGCAAAGCUCAGUACACACGAGUGUCAAUCACAUAGUCAGCAACAAUGUCAGGAUUCCGGUCGUGACGCAAACCGUGGCGCACAGUAGCAACAUCACCCAUUCCCCCUCCCUGAUCCUGAUUCCCAUCCAACACAAUCUCGUGCCUGUACAUGAUCUAACCGUUCUUCCGUUGCAAAGAACGGUGCAGAACGAGAAGACUGGACAUUACAGGACAGUGGAAAAGAAGAGCGAAGAAGAUGAGGAACCGAAUCGUUAUAGAACUUUUUACGGUGGUUAUGGGGCGGGCCUGUUCUUCGGAGGACACGGUGCUGGCCACGGCUUUUAUUCUUAUGGAAAGUAAUCUGACAACAUUUCGACAAUCAGAAUCAAUUUUUUUUUAUUGCUUUUGAUGGAUAGACGAAGCCCACCUGGUGUUAAGUGGUUACUGGAGCCCAUAGACAUCUACAACGUAAAUGCGCCACCCACCUUGAGAUAUAAGCUCUAAGUUCUCAAGUAUAGUUACAACGGCUGCCCCACCCUUCAAACCGAAACGCAUUAGUGCUUCACGGCAGAAAUAGGCAGGGUGGUGGUAUCUACCCGCGCGGACUCACAAGAGGUCCUACCACCAGUAAUUACGCAAAUUAUAAUUUUGCGGGUUUGAUUUUUAUUACACGAUGUUUUUCCUUCGCCGUAUAUUAGAUUGAUUUUAUUUCUAAUUUUAUUUAUACUUCAGAACUGUUGAAAUUGUAUUGAUGAGAGUCGCUUCCUCGAAAGGAGAAAAGGUAUAAUAAUUAAUCAUAAGACAUCAAACAACAAAUUUAUGUACUAGACGUAAGGAGAUAGAUUAAUAAAUUAUUUAUUGUACCUA